UGUGGAUACAGUAGGUUUCAUCAGCUUUCACGAAUCCGGCAGGCGACAGUCAUCAGCCGACGAAGCCACAUUUUGUGGAUACAGUAGGUAAGUCAGGCUACCACAUUUCAUCAUCCUGCUCCUAAUUUCAUUGAAUCGUUGCCUCCUAGAUGCAAGCCGCAUCGAGGUCCGAACCUCUCUUCAAGGCGGGCACCAAUCUCACCACCGACGUCCACCAAUUUGGUAGCAACACGGAGCGCCCAUCAGUGACGGUAGCAGAUAACCUUGUAUACCUUUUGUUGGAGAAGCUGCAAGCUAGAAGGAUGCAGGGACAGAUACAUGCAUGGAUGUUUAUUCGCUUUCUUUUAUUCUUAGAAUGAGUGUAGUCAAAUUUUGUUCAUCUGUGUAUAUGAAGAUAUCUAGGAGUAAUUAUUAGUUGAUUGUAUAAAUAUUACUUA
Molecule: long non-coding RNA, 437 nt
Organism: Panicum virgatum (switchgrass)
Lineage: Eukaryota; Viridiplantae; Streptophyta; Magnoliopsida; Poales; Poaceae
Exons: 2
Source: RefSeq, a predicted model, not a curated record